This 1717-nucleotide long non-coding RNA is filed under the name Mus musculus (house mouse). RNAcentral describes it as "RIKEN cDNA D630024D03 gene". Lineage: Eukaryota; Metazoa; Chordata; Mammalia; Rodentia; Muridae. The record is from RNAcentral.
AGGGAGUGCGACCUCGCUGCUGAGUUAGCCUGGCUCUUGAGCCGGGCUGAUAGAAACUCCCCCAAUCCCCACUUGUUUCUGUGUUUAGGGUUUGGCAAACUGGUGUUUUCACUCUCAGGGGCUAGCUCCAUUUGUCUGGCCACUUUUCUGACUACAGUGCUGGGUACUGCACCUUUACAACAAGGCUGUGAGGGCUGAGCACUCAGAGGCAGAGGCUGGGGGAUCCCUGAGUUCAAGGCUACCCAGGGCUACGCAGAAGGGCACCUGGUUCCCCAGCAUCCCAGACAACAGUCCCCUGUGUGGCUCCUGGUGUGAUGUGCACUAGGCCCAGAAGGACAUGGAGAGAAUGUGCACAGCCUUGUCCCGGCGCUGGAAAACAGAAGCUAACCUGUAAGCAACUAGAGGAUGUUUUCAGCUCGUGAGGAAGACUUAGCUUUUAAAAAGUAAAAAGCAGGAACAGGAAUAUGCCACCACACCUUGCUGGGAGCAGGGAUAACACGCCCAAAGAAAAGGGAUGAGCCGGGUCACUGAUCCUCACAAGGCCUGAAGAAGAGGUGGGACUCAUCACGAGGCCACAAAGAAAUACACAUUUUUUUUCUGGAGGUGGAUUUUCUGUUUGCUGAACAGAGCAGAUGGCUGUGCUUGAGAGGGGAAAGGAAAUUGCUAACCCUGUCCCCUGGCAUAGAAGAAAAAAUUGACGAAGUCACCAGGCUGGGCUCCAGCCCCUCUUCUGCAGCCUCAGCAGAUUUCUCUGCUGACACUCUGCCAUCAGAGAGUCUUUGAGGAGCACUGCCCCUGCUUCCCUUCUCCUAAAUUGACAGGGCUGUGCCUCACCUGUGCACUGCACCCAGAUUCCUCAGCUCCCUUCCUGAGCCCCUUCAAAUCUGUUCUGAGCUGCAAGCCUACAGCAUCUGGGCUGCAGGAUUUCUUUCCUUGAUUUCUUUCAUUUUGCCCCAUAGGUUACCUGGCACAUAGUAGGUGGAAAGACAUGUUUUCAGUUUGCUGAAUGUAUACAUGCAUACAUGUAUACAUACAUACAUACAUACAUACAUUUAUUUCUAGAGUGGCUGAAGUGAAUGAUGCUUGAGUCUUUCCUAUAUGACACACAUUAACAAAAUGGCAUUGUCCUGAUUGGUCUGUGAUUUUUCCCGGCUUCAGCCUCAGUAAAAUGGCAUCACUGGGUAGCAUGCGGAAGAGUCCAUAUGUUCAUCCUUAUGGGUCCUUCACAUCACGGAAGAGGAUGACACUUAACAAAUGACUCCAUGAGCAAGCGAGCACCUUGCCUUCUGGAUUAGUGGGCUCUGCAUCCACUGACUUGACCAACAUGUGACCAAAAUGUUCAAUAGAAACUGCAUUUGUACUUAAAAUGCAAACUCUUCCCUCUCUGGCUUUGCUCCCUAAAACCACAGACAGUGUAACAUCUGUGGUUUGUCUUCAUUGGAUGUGGGGGAUAUACAUAGGUUGCCAGAAGUGCUAUUAAAUCAACAUAAGGUCUUGGAGCAUCCUGGAGGAGGGAUGAUAUAUUCUGAAUGAGGGAAGGGCCACUCCACAGGCAGGGUGUUGGACUCAAUAAAAAGGGGGAAAGGAGAAAGCCAGGUGAGUGCCAGCAUCUGUCUCUUCCUAUGUCCUUAUCUGCCCAGAUUUCAGCGAGCUCCCAAUGUGACCAUGAUAGACUUCAUCCUCUGAGCCAGGAGCCACAAUAAACUUCAUCUCUGAA